AAAGUCGUAACAAGGUUUCCGUAGGUGAACCUGCGGAAGGAUCAUUACUGAGUCCAAGAGGGGGAGGCCACAGGGGUGCUGCUGGGGAUGAGUCGCUCUCUUCCCCACUUCCACACCUCCCUCUCUCACACACACAAUCUCAUUGUGAAAAGUUGGCGAAAACAACAUGCCAAAGAGCAACCGCCUUGUACCAUCGCCUGCCAAAACACACGUGUGUAUGGCCAUAGGUGGGCGAUGGUGGGGGUGGGAAAAAGCACAGCCUAGCCUGUGCUGUUGGCAUACCUUCUCUCUCUCUCUUUUGAAAUCUAUAACCUUUGCAUCAUCAUAUUGGUAUCCUUGACUGAGAAAAAAGUGGUGGUGGUGACGAAAUGUUCACUUCCACUGCGACAAAAAAAUAACAAACAUGUUACAACUUUUAACAACGGAUAUCUUGGCUCGC
Molecule: unclassified non-coding RNA, 439 nt
Filed under: Basidiomycota sp.
Lineage: Eukaryota; Fungi; Basidiomycota
Description: partial contains small subunit ribosomal RNA, internal transcribed spacer 1, and 5.8S ribosomal RNA
Rfam family: Eukaryotic small subunit ribosomal RNA (bases 1-47)
Source: RNAcentral